GCCCCGGUCGCACGAGAGCUUUUCUAUUACCUGCCCACGAAACGUGCGCAAGCAUCACUGCUGUAUUUUAUCGCUGAUCAGUGCGCUUUUAUGUUCUCAGUACUUGCUGCCGGGAACCUCCCCGUGGUAUCGCAGGGCCCAGCGACCACACUCUCUGUGGAACCCGUGAGCCUGCAGCCUGCCCUUGGGGGCACGGAGGCGGGCGCUUGGUGUCGGCGGACAGGCCUGAGCUGGCGCUGUGCCGAGGGGACCUGCGGGCCGUGAUGCGGGUUGGACGAGGCCACAGCGGAUGGCGUCUGCGAUGCAACAAGUGUGCGCGCGCCGCUGGCCCGUCGCGUGCGCCCGCCAUUUCAGUACGUCUUUGGUCGUUGUGAAUGGGGGCACAACGGCACGGUGGACGGGCUUGCAAGAUCGGGCGUGCCAGAGGAGCGGACGGCGGCUGCACGAGCUGCGGAAUUGGCCACUGCUCUGAGGCGCCAGGCCGACAUCCCCCGCAGCCGUGGUACGCGCGCUGCGACAAGAGCACGUUGGCGGCAGCUGCCCCACCCCAGAGGAGCAAGGAUGCUGCGCUUGCGGGACGGCAGGGGACGAUCCUGGCGCAGCUGCGCGCGGGCGUCUGUCCUUGCUGCAGAUUCGUUCAGCGGCGGGCGGCUUGCAGCGGCAGGGAGGAGCGCCGGCGGCGUGCUGGCUAACUGCUCCGCUGGCGGUGCGAUACCGCACGCCCGCCUGCUUUUGGUGUGAGGGCGUGCGCUCCGGCGCUGUGCCCGGUGUGCCACGCGCGGUUCCGCGGAUCGCUGGAGGCUCGAGGCAGACUGCACAUCGGGCUUGAUGGUGCACGCAAUGGUGCGGCCGCGCACGUCUCACUCGCGCAGCAUGGGCCUCCCCCGUCGGGUGUCUGCGGCUGCUCCCUGUGCCCCUUCAGGGCGGCCGUGCGGAAGCUCUUUGUGCGCUGGCGCGUGAUUGUCCGCGUGCCCCUUCCACUUGCCACACACACCCGCUCCUGUCACGCGCGUGCGGAUUGAGGAGGUGGAGCGCCCCUGCCGGCACAGACUCGUAGCCGCGCCGACACGCCUCCUCCCUCUCCUCCCUCUCCUCCCGCUCCUCUCUCCCCUCGCAUGGCAUCGACGGGAAACAGCAGAUGAGGGCAGCGAGCCACCCCCCUUCCCCCCCUCCCCCCUCCCAAUGCACACAGUGGAUGCGUGCGAAGUGUGCGGCCUCUCCCCCAUGCGGCCGGGCGGGUGCGAUGAGGCACGACGAGAGCGCCGCGGAUGGCGCCGUCGAGCCCUCCCGACUGCGGUGUGAAGGGUGCCCACACCACCUUGUGGGAUGCCGCGGCUGGAAGCGACUGAGAGGGCGCAGCACGUGUGCGAAGGAAGGGACGAGGAAGGACAGGAGGAGCCUGCCUAGACGCGUGGCCCCGAUCCGGCGGCUGGACGCUGCGCCCUCGAGGACCCGGAUGUAGUCGCGGCGCCACAGGAGGUGGGUGCGCUGCGGUUGGAUGCGUAUACGUUUUCUGACUUGGGCGCGCUAGAUGGGCGCAUGAAAACAUACAAGAGACGUUUGUCGCCCAAGACAGCGUGAAUGCGUAGGGCAGGAUGGCGAGGGUGCGGCUGUGUGAUGGGUGUGCCUGUGGGGCGGCGUUUCGUUCGUCGUGAUGAGUUCGUCCUCCGUUUGCACGGCGUGCGCUGUGGCGGUGGUGGUGGUGAGCGGCGAAGAUGUGUUUUUGUUGCAUGCGCUCUCGGGAGGUUUUACUUGGCGUGAAUAUGAUACCGUGUCCGGAAAGGCCUCAAUACCAUUCGUUCUUGCUACCUUCCUCUUCUUCUCUCGGGAACACUAUGUGUCUGUUUCGAGUGUGCUCGCUGGACCCGUUAAACCUAGUUGACGUUCAUCGACUGCUUGUUCCCUUUUUUCCUGUCCGCGUCACUUUUGUGUAUUUCACGAAUUCCCGGUCUCAGGUGCCUUGUGUUGUAGGUGUACCCUCGAAUUUCCCUCUACGUUGCUCACGACGUCCGCGCUUUCUGAUCGGCGGCGCCUCACGCCUCCAUCCAAUUGCGAAGAGCACAGCUGUUGGCACACAAAAGCUAACUUGCCGACGAAGUCAAACGCCCAUGCGUGCGCCCACCGGCGUUCUUGGAGAUACCAGGACAAAUUGUUCACCUCGUCGCUACUUCUUGAUGCUCAAUUGAUUCCUACUUUCUGUCUUACCAACAACCCUGCGUGUGCUGCCGCCAACCAG
Molecule: unclassified non-coding RNA, 2236 nt
Filed under: Leishmania donovani
Lineage: Eukaryota; Euglenozoa; Kinetoplastea; Trypanosomatida; Trypanosomatidae
Description: gene:unknown
Source: RNAcentral